AAUGAACGCUGGCGGCGUGCCUAACACAUGCAAGUCGAACGAGACCUUCGGGUCUAGUGGCGCACGGGUGCGUAACGCGUGGGAAUCUGCCCCUCGGUUCGGAAUAACACAGAGAAAUUUGUGCUAAUACCGGAUAAUGACUUCGGUCCAAAGAUUUAUCGCCGAGGGAUGAGCCCGCGUAAGAUUAGCUUGUUGGUGGGGUAAUGACCUACCAAGGCGACGAUCUUUAGCUGGUCUGAGAGGAUGAUCAGCCACACUGGGACUGAGACACGGCCCAGACUCCUACGGGAGGCAGCAGUGGGGAAUAUUGGACAAUGGGCGAAAGCCUGAUCCAGCAAUGCCGCGUGAGUGAUGAAGGCCUUAGGGUUGUAAAGCUCUUUUACCAGGGAUGAUAAAGACAGUACCUGGAGAAUAAGCUCCGGCUAACUCCGUG
RNAcentral lists this ribosomal RNA (433 nucleotides) under uncultured bacterium. RNAcentral describes it as "bacterial SSU rRNA". It matches the Rfam family "Bacterial small subunit ribosomal RNA", at positions 29 to 507 of the family's 1533-position model. The record is from RNAcentral.